CCAGACUCCUACGGGAGGCAGCAGUGAGGAAUAUUGGUCAAUGGCCGAGAGGCUGAACCAGCCAAGUCGCGUGAGGGAUGACGGCCCUACGGGUUGUAAACCUCUUUUGUCGGGGAGCAACGAGGCCACGUGUGGCGUUCCGAGAGUACCCGAAGAAAAAGCAUCGGCUAACUCCGUGCCAGCAGCCGCGGUAAUACGGAGGAUGCGAGCGUUAUCCGGAUUUAUUGGGUUUAAAGGGUGCGCAGGCGGCGAGUUAAGUCCGCGGUAAAUUUUCGGGGCUCAACCCCGACAAGCCGUUGAAACUGGCUUGCUAGAGUGGGCGAGAAGUAUGCGGAAUGCGUGGUGUAGCGGUGAAAUGCAUAGAUAUCACGCAGAACUCCGAUUGCGAAGGCAGCAUACCGGCGCCCAACUGACGCUCAGGCACGAAAGCGCGGGUAUCGAACAGGAUUAGAUACCCCCGUA
RNAcentral lists this ribosomal RNA (462 nucleotides) under uncultured bacterium. Its description in RNAcentral is "bacterial SSU rRNA". It matches the Rfam family "Bacterial small subunit ribosomal RNA", at positions 331 to 792 of the family's 1533-position model. The record is from RNAcentral.